CAUAGACGAUCUACUUUCGAUUUCAAAAACUACAAGAAAAUACAAUUUAAUGUUUCGCCGAUUUGUUUAUUUCUCGAAAAAUAAGAAUUAAAAUCAUUUUUAAUAUCUGUAGUAACUAAACAAACCAGUAAGAGCUUUUUCUUCCGAUAAUUUAUCCGUUUACUGACUGCAAAAUUCAUGCGUGUGUGUAGAAACCCACGCAAAGUUUAUAGAAAUCAUACGAUGCGUGUAUACGUUCAAUGUGGGAGAAUUAAGGCUGAUCGGGAUCGGCUAUGUUACCUAACGCAACCAGACGAUUCAGAUUUUGUUUUUAAAAAGGCAUUGUGUGCAUUUCUGUAAUUUUAUAUACGUUUUUAUACGCUUAGAAAUUAUUAGACAUGAGUAUUUGCAUUAUUUCUAUACGUAAUUUACGCUAACACGCAUCUUAUCUGGAGCUCUGUGGAACUAUUUUUUGUCUUUCGCUGGAUGUUACGGAAGCUUUGUAAGCCUGCGCAAUUCAUAAAAUGCCCAUUUAUGCUUAAUGAGUUACAUUCGAGUAUUGCACAAUUACAAGUCAUAAAUAUGACAGAUUACAUCGUAUACUGGUCAUAGCAAAUAGGAUUGACAUAAAUGAACUUCAUUCGAUCAAUGAACUCUUUGAAAUUAGAGACAAUCCAAUGGAACUACAUCACUUCGCUGUGUUGUGAGGCCAUUUAAGAAUGAGAAAUCGUGCGAUAGCAAGGACUCGUCUAAACGAUUUCAUCGUUUAGCCGACUCAAAAAUCUACUGACACAGUGAAAGCGUUUACAUUUUGCAUUAUUUUUCUGAUUCAACCUGAUGAAUGGUGUGUACUCAUUGAAUACAUGUACUGUAUAUGAAAUUAAUGAAGCAGUAAUUUGACAAAUACAAGCAAUGAGACAUUGUUCAUUGAUUAAAAUAUGGAAUAUUUUUCUGGUGUCCUUCACAAAUGAGACAAUUAAUCCUUCAGAUAUAAAAGAAUGCUUCAAGGUCAACAGAAUAUGAUUGAAAUUAUAAAGGCUAGUAAUGUAGUUUCUUAUUAUCAUUAUUAUUGACAUAAAUGUGAUGUCUUGCACUAAUCAGUGUUUGUUUUGUAUCAUAUUUCAGAUAUAAAACUAUAAAUAUUGAGAUGAUUAUUUAGUUACUUUCAACUGAUCAGUGGUCAAAAGGGAGUAUUUCUGUGUGCCUUGAAGCAUUGAAUGGCCCAAAACAACCAGUAUGAUAAGAAGGUAAUUUAGAACUCUUUUUCCAUGCCUUUCACAAAAGUACAAAACCUAUAACUGAGGAAUUGAAAUAUCUGAGGAAGAUCUGAUACAUAAAACUUCAAAACACUAAUUAUGCCCUGAUGUACGCACAGAUUGUUCCUUGCAUUUUUAUUAUUAUAAAGAUGAGAAGAUAGUUUAUGACUUUUUUGUAUAUAUUUGUUUCUGCACAAGAUUCAGAAUCAAUUUUCUAUCAACUAUGACAAAAACAGACAGAUUUCAAUAUAUGUCAUAACAAAAUUCAAUAUUUCAGGAACUUCAUUUGAAAAGGAUAUAUUAAAAAUUUAUGAAGUUGCUUUAUAUUACAUUACAUAACAGAUAUAUACAACUUUCCAAAAUGUUGAAAGACUAAGCUGUUUUUCUAUGGACUUGUAUACUAUCUAGGUUGAAAACAGCCACAGACAAUGAAUUUGGAGGUGCAUGCUGGAGCAUCAGAAAUUACAUACUUGGAAUAAAUAAUUGCACAAUACACAUUUACUGAGAAGUGACUAAUGUUUAUGUUAAGGUGCAAUAUCCAUAUUUGUAACAUUUACUUGGGGGUAAUAGUUACAGUGUUCAAAGAGACUACCAGUGUUUCAUUUCAAUCUAAGUUACAGUGUGGAUGCUAAUUCUAAAUUCUUGAUAAUCAAGUGUUUUUAAUAACUUACUAAUUAUUUAUCAAACUGUAUAAUUUAUCACAUUCC
This is a long non-coding RNA of Mercenaria mercenaria, 1942 nucleotides long. RefSeq lists it as uncharacterized. The record is from RefSeq and is a predicted model, not a curated record. Lineage: Eukaryota; Metazoa; Mollusca; Bivalvia; Venerida; Veneridae. The transcript has 3 exons.